Molecule: ribosomal RNA, 467 nt
Filed under: uncultured bacterium
Lineage: Bacteria
Description: partial 16S ribosomal RNA
Rfam family: Bacterial small subunit ribosomal RNA
Source: RNAcentral
GACGAACGCUGGCGGCGUGCUUAACACAUGCAAGUCGAACGGAAAGGCUCCAGCUUGCUGGAGUGCUCGAGUGGCGAACGGGUGAGUAACACGUGGGCAAUCUGCCCUGCACUCUGUGAUAAGCCUGGGAAACUGGGUCUAAUACCGGAUAGGACCUGUCUCCUCAUGGGGUUUGGUGGAACGUUUUUCGGUGCAGGAUGGGCCCGCGGCCUAUCAGCUUGUUGGUGGGGUAAUGGCCUACCAAGGCGACGACGGGUAGCCGGCCUGAGAGGGUGAUCGGCCACAUUGGGACUGAGAUACGGACCAGACUCCUACGGGAGGCAGCAGUGGGGAAUAUUGCACAAUGGGCGAGAGCCUGAUGCAGAGACGCCGCGAGAGGGAUGACGGCCUUCGGGUUGUAAACCUCUUUCAGUAGGGACGAAGCGCAAGUGACGGUACCUGCAGAAGAAGCACCGGCUAACUACGUG